Molecule: ribosomal RNA, 465 nt
Filed under: uncultured bacterium
Lineage: Bacteria
Description: bacterial SSU rRNA
Rfam family: Bacterial small subunit ribosomal RNA
Source: RNAcentral
AACGAACGCUGGCGGCAGGCCUAACACAUGCAAGUCGAACGCGAACGCUCCUUCGGGAGUUAUUAGAGUGGCGCACGGGUGAGUAACGCGUGGGGACCUACCAUUCGGUGGAGGAUAACAGCUGGAAACGGCUGCUAAUACUGCAUACGCCCUUUUGGGGAAAGAUUUAUUGCCGAAUGAUGGACCCGCGUUAGAUUAGCUAGUUGGUGAGGUAAGAGCUCACCAAGGCGACGAUCUAUAGCUGGUUUGAGAGGAUGAUCAGCCACACUGGAACUGAGACACGGUCCAGACUCCUACGGGGAGGCAGCAGUGGGGGGAAUAUUGCGCAAUGGGGGCAACCCUGACGCAGCCAUGCCGCGUGAGUGAAGAAGGCCUUAGGGUUGUAAAACUCUUUCAGUGGUGAAGAUGAUGACGGUAACCACAGAAGAAGCACCGGCUAACUCCGUGCCAGCCGCCGCGGUAAUU